RNAcentral lists this ribosomal RNA (253 nucleotides) under uncultured bacterium. RNAcentral's name for it is "partial 16S ribosomal RNA". It matches the Rfam family "Bacterial small subunit ribosomal RNA", at positions 524 to 776 of the family's 1533-position model. The record is from RNAcentral.
UACGUAGGGCGCAAGCGUUGUCCGGAAUUAUUGGGCGUAAAGGGCUCGUAGGCGGUUUGUCGCGUCGGAAGUGAAAACACGGGGCUUAACUCUGUGCUUGCUUUCGAUACGGGCAGACUAGAGGGAUGCAGGGGAGAACGGAAUUCCUGGUGUAGCGGUGAAAUGCGCAGAUAUCAGGAGGAACACCGGUGGCGAAGGCGGUUCUCUGGGCAUUCCCUGACGCUGAGGAGCGAAAGUGUGGGGAGCGAACAGG